Nomia melanderi (Alkali bee) is the source of this 13380-nucleotide non-coding RNA. NCBI's taxonomy places the organism in Eukaryota, Metazoa, Arthropoda, Insecta, Hymenoptera, Halictidae. The record is from RefSeq and is a predicted model, not a curated record.
UUGCGCGGCUAUGAACUCGGAGUGGAGUUUCCGGUUAACGUAGUGACGUGAAGUUUCCAACGUGUCGCUGUUGUGCGUUCGUGCUCACCACCGCUGCCGCCGUCGCGACCGCCGUGAAGUGCGCAUCGUUAGUACCGAAUUGUGUGUACAUAUAAAUGGCGGCUGACGAAAAAUGGUACUUUACGAAAGAACAGCUUACAAACACGCCGAGCAGAAGAUGCGGCAUCGACGCGGAUAGGGAACUGAGCUACCGGCAGCAGGCGGCGAAUUUCAUUCAGGAUAUGGGACAGCGGCUUGUGGUAUCACAAUUAUGUAUCAACACAGCAAUAGUGUACAUGCACAGGUUCUACGUAUUCCACUCGCUGUCACAGUUUCACAGGAAUGCAAUUGCAGCUGCGGCACUAUUUUUAGCAGCAAAAGUAGAAGAACAACCGCGCAAGUUAGAACAUGUUAUCAAAAUGGCACACGUUUGUCUCCACAGAGAUCAGCCCCCACCUGACAUCAGGUCUGAGCAAUAUCUUGAGCAAGCUCAGGACCUGGUUUUCAAUGAAAAUGUCCUACUACAAACAUUGGGGUUUGAUGUGGCCAUUGAUCAUCCCCAUACACAUGUUGUUAGGUGUUGUCAACUGGUUAAAGCGAGCAAGGACUUAGCCCAGACUUCAUACUUCAUGGCAUCUAACAGCUUACAUUUGACGACGAUGUGUCUGCAAUACAAGCCAACGGUAGUCGCCUGUUUCUGCAUACAUCUCGCCUGCAAAUGGUCUAAUUGGGAGAUACCACAAAGUACAGAAGGAAAGCAUUGGUUCUGGUACGUCGACAGGAGUGUGACUUCUGAUCUUCUUCAAGAGCUUACCGACGAAUUCCUUCAUAUAUUUGAUAAAUGCCCCUCGAGAUUAAAGAGGAAAAUCAUGAGCAUAUCCGCCAAUCAAAGUCCAAGCAUCAAUCAUCCUAGUUUACCAAAUUCACCUUUCGACGCGGAACCCCGUAAAGUACAGUCUCCUGCGACGACGGCCGAUGGUGGACCAACAUUCCAUACGAAUCGACCUCAUCACACGGAGAAGCAAGAAGAUAAGAAACAACUUGCUUCUGCACCCUCGAGACCUCCAGUCGACUACCGCGAAUAUCGCGAGAAGAAGGAACGGGAACGUUUGGGAAGAGAGAAAGCAUCAGCUCCGACGGCAGCUGCUAUGACUCACUCGUCAGAUAUCAAUAUUCAUCAUUCUCAUCAUCACAAACCUGUAUGUAGUACAAACGUGUUGAAUAAGCAUCCAUUGCCGCCUGCACAGAAGGCGCUUCAUCAUAACCAUCACCAUAGACCGGAAGUGAAGGUCGGCCAGCCGGUACCGCAAAGACAUUCGAGUAAUAGCCAAGCUAGGGAACCAAAUCGUGAUCCUAAUAGACAGAGGUUACAAAGAGAAUACAAUUCUACCGGUACAAGUAGCAGUAGUAGCAGUAGUAGCAGCCUUCACUCACAUAGCCACGCAGUGCCGAAGGAGCCGAGCUCGGAGAAUUCCUUGAACGACUCUGUUGCUCACAGAUCUGACGUCGGAGCGUUGCAGGAGCCGGUGUCGCAUGGGAACAUGCAGGAGAAACUUAGUAAUAAUAAUCAUAGUGUGCAUAGAUUAAGCGGCGUAGAGAGUAAGCAUCAGGGUCACGACAAGAGGAUGUAUGAUCCAAGGCAUAAGCCUGUAGAGCAUCGAAAAGACAGCGAACAGAAACCAUACAAAUACCCGGACCCAUCGAGAGUGGACCGGCAGAGGAAGUCCGACACUCUAGAGCAGAGGUGCGAGGAGGUGAGGAAGAUCAUCGAGAAACCUCUACCUCCGCCGAAGCCUACGCUUGACGCACCGUACGCUCCGAACGCGCAGAAACCGACCCAUCACAGUAAAUACAAUCAACUAGACAAACUGCAGACCAGCAGCGGCGCGGUGUCAGUCGAUGGCAAACUGAUCGCCGGCCAAAGCUCGUUUACGCAAGAAAAGUCGCCGACCAAUGCAAGCUCGUUGCUCUCUCAGAAAUCGUUGUCCUCGAAAACAGUGUCGAACCAGCACACCGCACAUGGUGUGUCGCAGAUAUUGAAAGACACCAUUAAGAACGGCAGUUCCCAGGCGUCGAGUCUGGCGUCUUUGAACAACCUGGACGAUCCGAAAACGGAGAAACGGCCGCGGCACGACGAGGUCGACAAGAACUCGUCGGACAUCCAGCAAAGUGUGCUGCAAACACCGCCUAGCAAGCACAAGUCCUUAUUCAGCCCGGAGAAGGUACCGACGCCUCGUGAAUCCCACUCGCAGAGGCCUAAAUCUAAACAGAAGACACCGCCGUCGGCGGCUAAAGUUCCUAAGCAAGAGCGUGUAUCAGAUUCGUCUAUAGGUUUUAAUUUAGUCUCGCCGUUUGCGAGUCCGCCGGGCUUGCAGCAGCAGCAGCAGGAAACGCUUCCAAUUAAACGGUCGGCCAGCGACGUCGCCUCGUCCUCUCAUAAAAGGCAUCGCUCGGGUAGCGCGAGCGAAGGUGGCCAACCGGUCAAAGUCAAGAUAGAGGACAGACCAAGCUUUGAGGCCGUGAAAAUGCUCGGCAGGGUGCCGGAAUUGAUACAGCCGAUCAGGGACAAUCCAUCGUCGAACGGUAGAGCCAGUCAGAUCGCAAACGAUAUGAAGCCACCGGAACUGAUCAAGCCGUUCGACUUGGAGCCGACGAUGUCACGAUUCAGCGGCGCGCAACAUCAGCAAGCGUUGUCGAAUCAACAAGGCCUGACGAACGGGCUAGACACGAACGUGGUGAAACAAGAGACUCAAGAGUUUCAGGUGAAGAAGGAAUCGUAUAAGGCUGACGUAUCGAAGAAGAUGGAGCACCAACAAAUUAAAGCGGAAUACCUGUCACCGAUGAAGUCCGCUCAGAGUAUAAGCGCGUUGCUGCAGGAACCGUUGGCGCCGAUGCCGUCUCUGCUUCAAAGUAUGCAGCCGUUCAGUCAAUCAGUGACCCAGCAACAAAUCUCUCAGGAGCAGUUCCAACAACAGCACUUGCAACAACAGCAGCAACAGCAACAACAACCACCACCGCCACCGCCAGCACCUCUGCAAUCGCAACAGCCACCAGCACCGCAACAGCAACAACCACCGCAACAACAGUCCAUGUCUCAUUCGAUCUUGCUAUCCGACCAUCAAAUUCCCAUUCAGAAUCAAUGCUUGUCUUUGCCGACGGUCAGCGAGCCCGUGAUAGCUUCGACCGUGGAUAUAAGCGCUCUCUCCGUUUCAGUGCAGAGCACCACGGAAUCGAUCAUCUCGGUGCCCACGUCGACGACAACGUUGACGGUCCCGGCCCCGCCUGCCGAGGAGAAACGGUCCGACCACCACAGAAGCGAAAAGAAGAAGAAGAAGGAGAAGCACAAGCACAAAGACAAGGAGAAAAGUAAGGAGAAACACAAGCACAAACACAAGGAUAAAGACAAAGAGAAACAUCGGGAGAAGGACAAGGAGAAGGCGAGCGACGAGGCGGUACCCGCUGUGCCCAUCAAAAUCACCAUCCCUAAAGACAAGCUGAACCUCAGCACAGAGUCGACCGGGACCACUGGUGGUAGCGGGCUGCCGGUCGACAAGAACAAGUCGCCUCAGAGCACCAGCAUUAAGAUCAUUAUACCUAAGGAACGACUGAAGGGCGCGGACAACGUGUCAAACUCGCCCGGCCAGUCGGUCGUCCAGGCACCCUUGAAGAUCAAGAUCCGCACGGAUGGAAUCUCGCGGAGCUCGACCGGCGCGUCGUCGACAACGAACAGCUCGGCCGGCGUAAUGCCGGAGUUCGCGAACGAGAGCCGGAAACGGGAUCGCGGCUCGGACAUGAAGGAAAGCCCGACGACCAGCGUACCGCCCACGAAGAAGCAAUCGCAGAUGUCCUCGGCGGGAUACGGGCAACACCGGCCGGGCGAACGGCAGAACGGCAGACACUAUAGUUCAGGCAGCAAUAACAAGGAGAAGCACUCGUCUAGCCACCACAAAAGCUCCAGUAAGCUGUCUCAGUCCCAGCAGUCGCACGCGACGUAGUAUUCGGACGUCGGUCGAAGAGGAUAUCGGUAAAAGUCACGAGAAACGAAGAGGAAAACAGUCGCUGAACUGGCUCGACCCGUCGAUCUCCAACCGGAAGCUGAGGAAUUUCGCCGUGCCAGCGCUUUCGUCGUCCUCGAAACCGGAUCGAGACCUCGGAGGAAUGCAGCUUUCAUCGUUGUUCACGUUUUUUCUUGCUCGAACGAUCGAGAAGAGAAGAAGAGGAGGAAAAACCUUCGUGGCUUCUCGAGCGAGGGGAAGCCCCGGCGGCCAUUUUGGUACCGCCCGCUGGCGCUGGACGCGAAUCGAUCCGCGAUUGAACACAUGAACAAAGUAAAAAAGGGGGGGAGAACACGGAAACAGAUGAAAUGGGAAUAACGUUCUUAUACUCAGGUGAAAUUAGGUAACACGCGAUCAAGUGCUAUAAGAGGAAAGCAAACUUCACUUCGUCCUUCGGUCGUUGGAUUGGCCGCGACUGAUCACACGAGCCCGUUUCCUAUCCGCGCGUAUUACCUUCAGCAAAUUUUGUUUUCCUAUUUCAGAGUAACGGCAAUGAUCGUCGCUCGAGAUCGAUUCCAAGUCGCAUGUUGUUCUUCGUAGAAGCUACGUUAACACUGGAUCUACCGUGUUAAAACGUGUGAUAAAAUAAUUUCUUCUUUUUCAAGUGUUGAAACGAUAACCUGUUAUGCUCUGAAACGUUAUCGAAGAAAUUGUUUUCGUAACACGCCAACUGAAUUGUCAGUUGAAAUCUCAGUGGAUGCAUUUGUAGCGUUUCUGUGACGAAAUUAGAAAAAGGCAAUUCGACUGCUCGAUAGUUUUAGGAUUAAGCGACGCUGAUAGGAUCUCGGCUACCGUUUCAAUGAAUUUAUUGUUAACACUUUCACGGUCGUGCGAUUCUUUGUGUGGAUUGUAUCUUGAGCUAGGAAGCUGGGAUAUUUUAGUUAGUAACGAAAGUAACGAUGGAUUUGUCAGAACCUUGCCUAGCAAUACGAAGCAAUACUUGUAGCGAGAAGCCUCCGUUGAACUUGAUCGAUAUUAUUUAGUUCAGAUUGAUUAGAGGGAAAUACUAUCUUUAUUUUGGAGAACUGACAGAGAUAAAGUAAUUCUUGCGAGUGCAACUGUGAAAAAGAGCAUGAGGCAAGGAGUAAAUUUGUGAAUAGCAAGCGUACUAUCGUGAGAACCUUUGUGAACAUGAUUUUGUGAAAAGUUUCACUGAAGAGAUGAAUUUCAAAUGAAAAGCACGGCUGUCAAAGUGUUAAUUGAUUACUUUAUACGCUAAAGUAUGACAGAAACCGAAGUCCAUUCAGCGAUCGCUUUACAGAUUCGUUUUUCCAUUAGUCUGAACCGAGAAUCAAACGUGAAUCGAUCCCGAGGGCAGUUCAGUGCCAAGCCGUUUUUUUUUUGUAUUUGUUAUCCUGUUCAACUGCCACGUUUCCUUGCAUCGAAUAACGAGAGACAACGCGUCGCCGUUCACACGGCUAGCAAAUUGAUCGUCGAUCGAUUCGUCGGACAGGGACGUUGAUUGUAAAGCGAUUCGCGUGUCGAUCAUGGGACCGGAAGACGCGUUCAGAUUGUUACUUCUCUCGCGAUUACUCAGCCGGUCAUUUCCGUUUGCUCCGCGUUCAUUCUGCAUUUAAUCUUUUUGAUACUGCGCCUUCUCUCUUCGCAAACCGAUCGAUAAUCAUCUGUAAGAAUUCAUUUAACGUGUCUUAGGGUCCAUUAAUUUCGUCCCUCACGUCUCUCGGUCCCGUCGCGACGGUUCUCCGUGAAAGAAACAGUAAUGGGCAGUCCCCGUGAUGUCCCUAAACAGCGAAUCGUUCGCGAAUGCACACACAGACGGACGGACGGACAGCGUAGACAGAACAAUAGGGAGAACGGGGGAGAAAAAAGAAAAAGAAAACACUUGGUCCAUGUCCAAUGAUAUUUAUUCGUGCCGUUUUGUUAUGUAAAUAGCCGGACAAACUGCAUAAUAUAGUAAGUAAUUCGAAUUAUACUAUCGCCAUUUAGUAUAAAGGACUAUAGAUAAAAUAAUUAAUAUUAUUGUCAGACUGUAAAUAAAAUUAUUUUGUAUGCCAAAAUAAACCAAAUGAAGUGACUCGACACACAACGGUCAAACACAGUCUCGCGUCGGAACAACAAUACGUAUUAACACAUAUUAUAUACACGGCACACACACACGCACACACGCACAUACACACGUACAUACAGACCUACACAGGACACGCUGAAAUGAAAAGUAUAAAAAAAGAUAAAAGAACAAAAAACAGAAUGUAUACACGAGCGUAUACACGCGGAAAAGCACGUGUAUAUUUAUGGGUGAGGAUAGAGUGAGGUGGUCGACCCAGCGGGACCAAAGGCUAGAGGUUCCUAAGUCAGUUCCUCUUUCAGAUCAGUUCUCAGAUUUCUUUGAAACGUCGGAGACAGGCCCGCACCCGCGAUGAAGAACCUCUGUGAUCCCACUGGAUUCACUGUUUCAUUGUAUCGUUACCGCCAAGUGCGUACACUUGGAUGUAUAGUGAGGUAGUGAAGCGUAUACUUUGAUAUUGCGACGUGGCCAGUCCAGUGGGACCAUGAAGAGAUUGUUCAACCCCGUCGGAUUAGAAUGUAACGGUAGACCAUGGAGUUUCACGCGAGUACUUACAAUCAACCACCUUCAAACUAAAUAGAAUUGUUUUCUGAAUCGACAGUUUAACGGUAUAACGAAACGUGAUAAAACUCCAUGGAAAUUUCUAUCUCUGUAACCUGUAAAGACUCCUGUCUCCUUUGCACACUGUAAACCCAUAGGAAUGUCCAUCUAAGCGAGUGCACGAGAAUCUUCUCUCUCAACAAUCCGAGUUAAUCUCAAACCAAGCAUUUCUAAAGCAUCAAAAGCAAUUUCUAUUCAUGGUCCGCUGUGUUUGCUACCCCGUUGUAUCGCCUUCGAGUAUAUAUCCAAGCGUGAAGCGAUGCACCCAACGGGACUAUGGAAGAGGAUUCAAGCCGAAGCGCAUAAAACAAUCUCCGCGUACCGAACACGUUCCCCUCUUAUUUCUUAACACUAGGUUUACGGAACGCGUCAAAUUGCCGCAUAUUGGAUUUUAGAAACAUUAUUUUGUAAAUGUUUACGCCGAUUUUGAUUGAUGCGAUCACACUGACAUGUACCCAAAUUACCUACUAUCAAAUCUCCAGUUUCCACAAUCUAAAUAAACGAGCAUCAAUUCUUUUAGGAAUAAUAGAAUGAAGUCUACAAUAAAUGCCCGUAAACCUAGUGUUAAACACGCAAACCGUUGAAAGAUAGCGCCAACGAAUCCCUCGUUUAUGCUCCUAUUGGGUUCCACUGGCACACGCUAUGCCGUUACCUCCGAGUAUGUAAGCGAACAGAAUAAAACAUUGUGGUACAAGCUACAGUACGCGGCAUCGGGCGAGAUAGACUACAACAUAAAAUUAUCUUUGCGAAGCAUGCGCAUAGUUAGAGCGAACCACGGUUUAAUACUCGCAGUUUCCGUUCACCGUAGGUUGAUUAUUUUUUAAGGAGAGAGAGAGAGUGUGUGUGCGUGCGUGUGUGUAUGUGUGCAUGAGAGAGAGAGGAAGAGAGAUUGAUGAGUUCGAAACCCACCACCGUCUAUUCGCGAACGUCCGUGCGUACUGUACCGGGUGGACCGGAAAGAAAACGCGUCGCCGCCCGUUUCUCGACGCGAAACCACCGUAUAUAUAUAUAAACUUAUACAAUGACACGUACACAGACCACACACCUUUACCAAGCGAUUAUUUUCUCCCGUUUGCGUCGACGAUGGAAAAAAAGAAACACAACCGAGAACAAAAGAACAGCCGGCGCGUGCGAAGAAACGCGACCGUGCGGUCCGUUCGUAAUUAUUAAAUAAUAUUACUAUUAAAGUAUUGAUAAUACAUUAAUAUCACGAUUAUUAUAAUCACAGAGACGCAUACACACAUGUACACAGAAAGACAGAGGAUACGAAGGAAGAAGAAGACGGGAGUGAUCUACCAAACACAUAUAACACUCGUGCACCGCAUUACAUUAAUGUACAUACACAACGCCUACCACGCGGAACGAACGCGUUGACUGCCACGUUUUUCAGCGUUUUCUGUGUAGAGUACCAUUGUUACUUAGUGAUAAUUAUUACUAUGGUAAUAGUGGUAACGAUAAUGAUUACUAAUGGUAGUAAUUACUGUGACUAUGGGAAUAGUAAUAUUUGCUAUGAUGGUUGUUACGCUGUUAGUAAUUAUUAUUACUGUUAUUCUUAUUAUUAUGUAUUAGUAGUAAUUAUUACUAUCAUUACAGUAAUACUACUGCUCGAUCUUUCGCAAAGAUAAAUGGUAUUAGAACUCUUAACGAUUCGAUAUCACAACUCAAACGUUACUCACAAAUAUUUCCAUUCGGUAUGAAUUUUCUUGACGAGAUUGUCCUCGAGCAAUUCGGAAUGUCCAGUCAUCGGUGGCCACCGUAGCAGUCAACGGUGUUAACGGUUAAAAAGAAAAGAACGCGAUAAGAGCCGCGAAACGACAAGAAAUCUCGCAUCGACGUUCUUCUUCCUCCUCGUCGUAAUUUCUCUUUUUUUUCCGUGCAUAUCGUGGAUCGACGCCGAUCCCUUGAAAUCGACGGUGAAAAUGGCGGGGGAAACAGAAAGUAACGAACAAAGGGAUAGGAUAAGAGACUGGGGAGAAAGGCGAUCAUUGUAUUUAUCGAUUGUAUCCACUGAUCGGAUCCGUCAGCUCGGACAUCGUUAAUCUUGAUCGCGCGAGACGGCCUGGGAAAAGAGGAAAUCGGCCUUUGACGUUCGUUCGUUUAUAAUACGUUGACUGCCACGAAGAAUUGCCACGUUUCGUGUGUCGCUUGUUCUUUUCGCAGCGGAGAUAAGAACCAUUUAUCAACCCCUUGCCGUACAGUGUCGAAUAGAUAUCAAUGUUAUUCGUAGAAGUAAAGAACUUGUUUCGUUAUUGUGAAUAUUUUACCUUCGACGGAAACGUGUACUUGUAAUAAGCGGAAAAUUCUGUCUAAUUGUUACGGAUUAAAUAGAUUCGAGGAGCGUGACCCGAAUCAAAUGGUACGGCGAGAGGGUUGAACCGUUUACUUUGAAAAUGCUUUAAGUCGACUUGAAAAAGAAACUAUUAACACUUUGAGAAGUCAAGAUUCUUAAUAAUUGUUCCACUAUCUUUCUUAUAUCUCAUAUCCAAGGAAAUUCGGUUUUUUCGAUGUCAGGAAGAAAAUUGAUGUCCAAGUUUCUGUGAAAAAUAGUGUCACAGUUCGCGUGACAUGGCAGUGAAAGUAUUAAGAAAUAAAAAGAUUAUGUAGAAUAACUAUUAUAACGAUUAACUUGAUUUCUUUGAACAAUGGACGUACAUUUUCCAAAGUAAACGAUUAUUUGAUGUCACGAUUCUUACGUUGCACUGUGAUCUAUAUAUUCACGCUAUUCGAUAUCUCUAUUCGAGUCAUCUAAAUUGUAAUCGUUUUCGAGUAGUUUAGAUAGUAAGUGAUCGGUGAGCAUCGUGGCAGUCAACGUGUCAACGAGAACAGGAGAAUGGUACACGUUAGCAAUAAAUCUGCGGCGGCGACUCGGCCCGAUGAAAUACCGUUCCGUUCGUCGGCCGAUACUGCGACUGAUGUUUCUCGUCAUUAUUAACCCCUUGAUCAUUCUUAACUUCACCCUUGACGAUUCACCAAGAAACUUAGAGGAACUCGCGAUUCAUCCAUGUCCACCUUUAAAACGCAACGGUUAAUAAGAGAAGAAUAGUAUUCAAUCUGAAUAACAAUUGAUGAUUUAACUCUCUAUGGGCCGAAUUUCGUUUCGUGAUUAGAACAAAAUUUGCAGUAUGAAAUUAAUAAAUAUCAACAUAUGAACACAAAUUAACAAUGUAUUCAAUAGUUUCAACAAUUUUAUUGAAACGAAUAUAUUUUGUAACUUUGACAUUACAAUGACGUUGAACGUAAACGCCUGUGUGUACAAAAGUUUAAGUUGGUUAAUUAUUUAAUGUUUGUCAUUUUGCAAUAAAAAAUUAAAUACGUCAAUUUAACUCGGUAUAUUGAUGUGUGACUUCAAAGUCGCACGAGCCUAUAGAGGGUUAAUUUAACAUUGAAAGAAUAGUAUUUAAUCCAAUAACCGAGUUAACUUCCCUUAAGUUAACUCGUGACUGUUAACCAUUCGCUACCAGUUCUCUCGAUAGCAGCUGUGAUUACAAUAUUUUAUUAAAAACAUAUCGUCUUUAUAAAAUACACAGAAUAUUAAGAACAAAUAUCUUCAUAACUUUCUGUACAUUAUUUAUAUUAAUUACAAAUGUAAUUUACUCUUUACAACGCACGAGAUCGUCACAUUUGUGGCUGUAAUCCUAUAUUUUACAGUGAAGAUGAAAUUAAUGAUAUUGUUAUUAAUUAUAAACUACGACAGUAUAUGCAUGAACUCAAUGACUCGUUUCAGUUUCAUUUUUCUCGUAUUUUAUUGGAUUUAUUGGAUUGUCAUCGGAAUAAGCGCUGGUAGCGAACGCGUUAAUCUAAUUUUUGCAAGCUCCAUUCGAGAACUGUCUUCCCAGUCUAAGUUAUCGCGUGACAAGGGGUUAACGAGAGGAACGAAGAAGAAAAGGCGAGGAAAUGAACGAUUUCCGAAGAACCAAGCAGAUUUUAUCGUGCCGAUGAACGAUUGUAUUCCCGUGCGGCCGAGAACGAACGUUUCGCUUCUCGCUUCGCGGAACGAGGGAGGCCGGAUAACAGAGUGAAAGAGGAACUGGAAGCGUAUAGGGUAUAAUGGAAAGUAAAACAAAAAUCGUAGACCAACACUUUCUUUUCUAGCGUUGUUCUCUUGGCUGUGCGGCACGAGCAGCGUUUAUGGUUAACCCCUUGCCUUAAGGUUCACUUCUCAGCCAUGAUCGAUACACUUACUUUGUCAAUAAUAAUUUAUUGGGAAGAAGACAAAGAUUCUAAGCAUAUUCCAUGUUCGUGUAUACUCUGAAUUAGAAUAUGACAGAAGUCAAUAAUAUUUCAUUGAAUAUUUCAUUAAUAUUUCAGAUGAGUAAUGAACAGUGAAUGUCACAUGAAUAUCUCGUUUAAAUUCAAGAGAAUCGAGUGAUAUCUAUGCUUAUUAAAUUCUGUUUAACACUAGAACUACCAAGCAGUCAAGUUGACUUCGAAAUUUCUAUGAAAACCCAGAAGUUCAUCUGUCGAGACUUCGAAAACUUAGUUUAUAUGUUACUGAAACAAUUCCUUUAGAAAUUUCUCAGAGGAUCUAUUUUCCAAUAAUUGUGAAAGAAUAAUUUAGGAAUGGGUCAUUUUAACCCAUCCGGUAGUUUUAGUGUUAAAAUCGUUACGAGUCUGACACGUCACGAGGCAAGGGGUUAAUCGGUUUCCGGUCGACGGAUGAAAAGAAAAACGUGACAAAAGGAACGAGGGAACUAGGAUAAACGAAAUCGGUUGCGAACGGUGUUUUCUUUUUUCUUUUUUUUAGCGCCGCACGUUUCCCUUUUCGAAGAUCGAAACGGAAAGAUCUUCGGUCGAGAGACAAUUGUUUUUCGUUCGACACUUAAGAGACGAGAGAAAUAAAAGGAAUAGCUCUGCCAUUUCCUUUUUCGGAGAAAAACUAACGAGAAAAGAAUUAUACACUGGCUCGAGCGCGUUACAGGAAGACGAGAGAGAAUGUUUUUCUUUUUUUUAUAUAUAUAUAAAUAAAAAUAUAUAUAUAUAGAAGCGAACAGAAGUUAAGCUAAUGAACCGUGUCCGCGAUGUAAAUAAAUUUAUUCUUAAGGACUUAAAAACUGAAGCGACGAUUCGCGAAGAGUGUAUACUUAUUAUUAAUUAUUAAUUAUUAUUAUUAAUUAUUAUUAUUAAUUAUUAUUAUUAUUAUUAUUAUUAUUAUUAUUAUUAUUAUUAUUAUUAUUAUUAUUAUUAUUAUCAUCAUUAUCGUUUGCAAGUCGUGCAUUUGUAUUUCACGCACGGCCCGUGGAGAACGGGCUAGCCAACGUGAAUACAGGCUCGCACCGGAAGUCCUCAGUCGCGGGAAAAGCUCGCUCGCUCGGUCGCUCGCUCGCCUGAAUUUUCUUGGUCUCUCGCGUGGAACGGCAAUGACUUUCGCGUGGAAUGGCGAUCACUUUCACGUGGAAAACGGAGAUAAAACGAACGCAAGGAACAGGGAUACGAUUUUCUUUCGAUAACUUCCGUUAGACGACGAUUUUUUGCUUUCUCCGUCCCUUGUUCCCGAUUUUUUGGGGAAUCGUUCGGAUGUUUUUGGUAGGCUGACGGUUUCUCGAUGAUCAGUGAACAGGACAUAACAUAUUGAACUUCGUGGAAGAACCAAGUUUUAUGUUGGAACGUACCACUUUAGGGAAACUGAUGUUUAAAGAGAAAUUAGAAUUCGAAUUUGAAUGGUGUUAGAGUCUUAGACGAGUUCCGGUUUCGAAUUUUUACGAGGGUCGUUCCUAUGGUGGUUAGGAUGAUCCUCGGUGAUCAUGGGAGAAAGAUUCUGCGAGUGUCUUGUUCACCGAUCGAUGAACAGUUUCGCUGUAAUUAAUGCACGAGUGCGAUCGUUGCACUGUAACGGGGACUCGCUUUCGACGUAUACGUUUGGAUCAUUGGAGAGAUGUUUUCUUUUUGUAGCAGGGAACUAUUAAAAGUGUAACUUUCCUUUGAUUUCUCACGACUGACGAUCUUCGGGAUUGAGAGCCGAGCUUGCCUAGUUUCAGGCGGCGUUAAAAAAAAGUUAUCCUCAAUAAAGAGAGAAGCAAAAGAAUGACUAAAACAAAUAUCACGGUUUAGAAGUUAUUUCAAACCCCUCUACGCCAUUUGUGUUCUAUUUGAUUGAUCGGUUAAAUUAAUUAUUUGCAGAUCUCUUGGAAUUUAAUCCCUUGCACUCUAGAGGUUUCAGUCACCACUUGAUUUAAUACAGCAAAAUUAUGAAGUUAAAUAUUUAGUAUUCUAAAUGAAAUUUUACAUUUUCACGUGAAAUAUUUAAAUAUUUAAACCAAAUCGAAUUACUAUGGUUCACUCGAGCAUGUCAUGUGAGUUUUUAGGUGGUUACGUUAUUACGUAAUAACUUUUGAUACUUGGAACCGGAUCUGAGUACGAAAAUAAGAUCGAAAAAAUGAAUCUCAUAUUGAAACUAAUGAUGUCUAAUAAUUAACCAAUCAUAAGUUAAUUAUUAAUUCUUUAGUUGACGAUGUUUCUGGAAUUAUAGAAGUGAGAUAAUUAAAUUAACACUUGGGUGUAAAUGCAAGUGUCAAACAAGAUUACUGUCGAAUUAGUACGUACAAAGAACAGUGUGCAAGAUUUGAUAAAGCUUAUAAAACCCACGACAUUGUAAAAUUAAAAUUUAUUAAUUAAUUAUUCGAUUCGCCGGUAUGAUGGUAUAAUUGUUUGAAGAUUGUUUAA